RNAcentral lists this ribosomal RNA (293 nucleotides) under uncultured bacterium. RNAcentral describes it as "partial 16S ribosomal RNA". It matches the Rfam family "Archaeal small subunit ribosomal RNA", at positions 455 to 747 of the family's 1478-position model. The record is from RNAcentral.
GUGCCAGCAGCCGCGGUAAUACCGGCAGCCCGAGUGAUGGCCGAUCUUAUUGGGCCUAAAGCGUCCGUAGCUGGCUGCGCAAGUCCGUCGGGAAAUCCACUCGCCCAACAAGUGGGCGUCCGACGGAAACUGCACAGCUUGGGACCGGAAGGCUCGAAGGGUACGUUCGGGGUAGGAGUGAAAUCCCAUAAUCCCGCACGGACCACCGAUGGCGAAAGCACUUCGAGAAAACGGAUCCGACAGUGAGGGACGAAAGCUAAGAUCGCGAACCGGAUUAGAAACCCUUGUAGUCC